AAGUCGUAACAAGGUUUCCGUAAGUGAACCUGCGGAAGGAUCAUUAUAGAUUGACCGAAAGGUCGUGUCUUCAUCCACACACACCGUGAACCGUUUUGGAGCCCUCAGGGGUUCCGGACAAACAAACCAAAACAAAACGUAAAGAAUGUAAACUAUCGUAAACAAAACAAAA
This 172-nucleotide unclassified non-coding RNA is filed under the name plant metagenome. RNAcentral describes it as "partial contains small subunit ribosomal RNA and internal transcribed spacer 1". The stretch from base 1 to 46 matches the Rfam family "Eukaryotic small subunit ribosomal RNA", at positions 1786 to 1831 of the family's 1831-position model. The record is from RNAcentral.